UACGGAGGGUGCAAGCGUUAUCCGGAUUUACUGGGUUUAAAGGGUGCGUAGGCUGAUUGAUAAGUCAGUGGUGAAAUCCUCGGGCUCAACCCGGGAAUUGCCGUUGAUACUAUUAGUCUUGAAUAUAGUUGAGGUAAGCAGAAUGCGUGGUGUAGCGGUGAAAUGCUUAGAUAUCACGCAGAAUACCGAUUGCGAAGGCAGCUUGCUAAACUAUUAUUGACGCUGAGGCACGAAAGCGUGGGGAUCAAACAGG
This 253-nucleotide ribosomal RNA is filed under the name uncultured bacterium. Its description in RNAcentral is "partial 16S ribosomal RNA". It matches the Rfam family "Bacterial small subunit ribosomal RNA", at positions 524 to 776 of the family's 1533-position model. The record is from RNAcentral.